Molecule: ribosomal RNA, 381 nt
Filed under: Hoplasoma unicolor
Lineage: Eukaryota; Metazoa; Arthropoda; Insecta; Coleoptera; Chrysomelidae
Description: partial 28S ribosomal RNA
Source: RNAcentral
GGUCGAAAGGGGAAAUUCAUUCGCGUUUCGGCUGUCGGAGUUGAAUGCUUGUAUGACGGAUAACGUUUCGACGUUGUCCGCGUCUCGUGUUCUUCGAAUCGAUGUCGAACGCGUGCACUUUUCCUCUAGUAGAACGUCGCGAUCCGUUGGGUGUCUGUCUAAGGUAUGUGAGGUGGAGCCCAUGCGAUUUUUAGAUUGUGUGGACCCUUGAUAUCCCGACAGACCCGCUCGACGGUAUACAAAUGGCGCGAGGCCGCUACACAUACAAUUAGCGUUCGGCCCGUAGCAAGCACGUUCUGUGUUUGAUGGUCAUCGGACCUGGUGCCGAUCCUGUCCCGGAGCGACUGUUGGUUACGUGGUAAUUCUCUCGAACAGACCUCG